UGAGGAAUUUUCCGCAAUGGGCGCAAGCCUGACGGAGCAACGCCGCGUGUGUGAUGAAGUCCUUCGGGAUGUAAAGCACUGUCGGAGGGGAUGAAUAAAUGACAGUACCCUCCAAGAAAGCCCCGGCUAACUACGUGCCAGCAGCCGCGGUAAUACGUAGGGGGCAAGCGUUAUCCGGAUUUACUGGGCGUAAAGCGCGUGUAGGCGGUUGCGCAAGUUGUGUGUGAAAUCUCCCGGCUCAACCGGGAAACUGCACGCAAUACUGCGUGGCUAGAGUGGCAGAGAGGAAAGUGGAAUUCCCGGUGUAGUAGUGAAAUGCGUAGAUAUCGGGAGGAACACCAGUGGCGAAGGCGACUUUCUGGCGGCUAACUGACGCUGAGACGCGAAAGCUAGGGGAGCAAACGG
This 405-nucleotide ribosomal RNA is filed under the name uncultured bacterium. Its description in RNAcentral is "bacterial SSU rRNA". It matches the Rfam family "Bacterial small subunit ribosomal RNA", at positions 355 to 775 of the family's 1533-position model. The record is from RNAcentral.